GAUGAACGCUGGCGGCGUGCCUAACACAUGCAAGUCGAGCGAGAACGUCUGAAUGACACUUCGGUAGAAUGAAGGCGGGGAAAGCGGCGGACGGGUGAGUAACGCGUANGUAACCUGCCCCUUACUCACGGAUAGCCUANGGAAACUGGAUUAAUACCUGAUGAAGCAGAGAUACAGAAGUAUUUUUGCCNAAGAUUGAUCGGUGAGGGAUGGACCUGCGUCUGAUUAGUGAGUUGGUGAGGUAAUGGCUCACCAAAGCGACGAUGAGUAGCCGACCUGAGAAGGUGAUCGGCACAUUGGAACUGAGACACGGUCCCAACUCCUGCGGGAGGCAGCAGUGGGGGAUAUUGCACAAUGGGCGGAAGCCUGAUGCAGCAACGCCGCGUGAGCGAAGAAGUCUUCCGAUCGUAAAGCUCUGUUCUGGGGGAAGAAACAAAUGACNGUACCCCGGAGGAAACCCCGCUAACUACUUGCCAGCAGCCCCGGGAAUACGUAAGGGGCGAGCGGUAUUCCGAAUUAUUGGGCGUAAAGAGUACUAAGUG
Molecule: ribosomal RNA, 542 nt
Filed under: uncultured bacterium
Lineage: Bacteria
Description: bacterial SSU rRNA
Rfam family: Bacterial small subunit ribosomal RNA
Source: RNAcentral